This 800-nucleotide ribosomal RNA is filed under the name uncultured bacterium. RNAcentral describes it as "bacterial SSU rRNA". It matches the Rfam family "Bacterial small subunit ribosomal RNA", at positions 8 to 796 of the family's 1533-position model. The record is from RNAcentral.
AGAGUUUGAUCCUGGCUCAGAGUGAACGCUGGCGGCAGGCCUAAUACAUGCAAGUCGAACGGCAGCACAGCAGAGCUUGCUCUGUGGGGGGCGAGUGGCGGACGGGUGAGGAAUACAUGGGAAUCUGCCCAGUCGUGGGGGAUAACGUAGGGAAACUUACGCUAAUACCGCAUGCGCCCUUCGGGGGAAAGCCGGGGACCUUCGGGCCUGGCGCGAUUGGAUGAGCCCAUGUCGGAUUAGCUGGUUGGCGGGGUAACGGCCCACCAAGGCGACGAUCCGUAGCUGGUCUGAGAGGAUGAUCAGCCACACUGGAACUGAGACACGGUCCAGACUCCUACGGGAGGCAGCAGUGGGGAAUAUUGGACAAUGGGCGCAAGCCUGAUCCAGCCAUGCCGCGUGUGUGAAGAAGGCCUUCGGGUUGUAAAGCACUUUUGUCCGGAAAGAAAAGCAUCCGGUUAAUAACCGGGUGUCAUGACGGUACCGGAAGAAUAAGCACCGGCUAACUUCGUGCCAGCAGCCGCGGUAAUACGAAGGGUGCAAGCGUUACUCGGAAUUACUGGGCGUAAAGCGUGCGUAGGUGGUUUGUUAAGUCCGAUGUGAAAGCCCUGGGCUCAACCUGGGAAUGGCAUUGGAUACUGGCAGGCUAGAGUGCGGUAGAGGGGUGUGGAAUUCCCGGUGUAGCAGUGAAAUGCGUAGAUAUCGGGAGGAACAUCUAUGGCGAAGGCAGCCACCUGGACCAGCACUGACGCUGAGGCACGAAAGCGUGGGGGAGCAAACAGGAUUAGAUACCCUGGUAGUCC